AGUCCCUGUUUAAAGUGUCAUUGACUCGGGAAGUGUCGUCGAGUGUGGACGUUUGAAGGCUAACUACUUCAAUCAAGUUUAUUGGUCUGGCAAAUAUGCAAAACUGUUGUCACCCCACAACCUUAUUCAGGAAAUUCUAGUGCAGUGGACAGCUCUGUGAUGGAUUCAUCACCUGCAAGAUAUACCUCUACAUGGUACAAGUAUAGAAAACUUUCAUUAGAAAAGAAAACACUAGAGAUUGGACAAGCUGCUUAACCAUCCCUGAUAUUCAAGUUAUCAUAUGUUACCUGGCAAAGGUAGAUUUUCACACUACAUAAUUCACAUCUUUUGACUAGUGUCACAACACAGCAGUGUGGAGUAUUAAAUGCUUCCAGCUUACUAAUGACCUGUCAUCAUAAUUUAAUUAGAAAAGUAUUUAAAGUUAUGGGAACAUGACCUCUGAAAGUAUUUGAAGCAAUUAAGUAUCAAUGAUGUAACUGUAGCAUAACAUUUAAAGUUGAACUUUAUUUUGUGGGAGGAAGAGAAUGGGAAACCCUAUCUCGCUGUACACAUAGGAGAAUCAUGUACCUAAGGUAUCAAUAUACUUUUAUCUCCUUUUUUCUUAAGCAUACCUGUAGCAUGUACUUUUAAAUUAUAAAUACUUAUUUUAUCAUAUAACCGAGAGCAUAAAAUUUUCCAUAUCACUAGUCCCUUGCAAAAAUAAUUGUUAAAGAUUCUACCUUGAAACCCUGUUCCUUAUAGGAUAUAGCAAAUAUAAAAAUAACUGAAAACUAAAUGUGCCUAAAUUGCUUCAAAGUAUUUGUUUCUUUUGCAAAAAUGGGUAACUAAUUUUAAAUUUGUCUGCAUGGUGGACAAUAGGAUCAUGGACACCCAUAGAUUGUUUACUUUUAAAGUUAGGUCAUCACAUCUUUGAUCUACUAAGGAGAGGAAAAAUUAAAUGCUUAGCUUUUAAGAAUUUUUAUCUAUAUCUGCAUCAACUAGACAGUGAUGGUUGUGUUCACAUUAGUGUUAAUUUAUGAACCCUGUAUUAAAUGAUUUAUUCAACCUUCUUGCUGAAUUACUGGUUAUAAAUGCAAGUUACAAAACUGUAAAUGAAGUGUUAAUGCUGAACAAAAACUAUCAAGUCAGGAACAUGCAUUUGUGUUUGUGAAAUAUAUGCAAUGGUGAAGUAUGCAUGAAUAGGUUGUGACUGUUUGCAGCAACAAGUUGAUGAACUAUCUAUUAACUGGUGCGACUGAAAAACAUAACAUGAAGCAAGUACACAGACCUCUAGGUAAUUUUUGUUGUUAGUGGAGGAGGACAGUCUUGAACUGAGAAUUUGCAAGGACGGGACUUUAUUUCUUAUGUAAUUUAAGUUUUGAUUUCCAAGUCUAAA
This is a long non-coding RNA of Macrobrachium nipponense, 1375 nucleotides long. RefSeq lists it as uncharacterized. The transcript is spliced from 3 exons. The record is from RefSeq and is a predicted model, not a curated record. Lineage: Eukaryota; Metazoa; Arthropoda; Malacostraca; Decapoda; Palaemonidae.